GACCUAAUUGCGAAGCUCGUAUCGCGUCCGCAUCAUAUAGCAGUUUCACGUGUUCUGUGGAAGUCCCUGGUUCAAUCCCAGGUUAGGUCG
This is a non-coding RNA of Mycena sp. CBHHK59/15, 90 nucleotides long. Lineage: Eukaryota; Fungi; Basidiomycota; Agaricomycetes; Agaricales; Mycenaceae. The record is from the annotation of a GenBank genome assembly.